GCUCUCUUAGCUCAGUUGGUAGAGCGCCGUUCUUAUACGAAUAGUAUACAAAGAUGAGUAAUAUCAUCCUGAGAAAAGCGGAGGUCAGCAGUUCGAGCCUGCUAUUGAGCA
RNAcentral lists this transfer RNA (111 nucleotides) under bacterium. RNAcentral's name for it is "tRNA-OTHER". It matches the Rfam family "tRNA". Rfam says of the family: Transfer RNA (tRNA) molecules are approximately 80 nucleotides in length. Their secondary structure includes four short double-helical elements and three loops (D, anti-codon, and T loops). The record is from RNAcentral.